GUGUCAGCAGCCGCGGUAAUACGGAGGGUGCAAGCGUUAUCCGGAUUCACUGGGUUUAAAGGGUGCGUAGGUGGGUUGGUAAGUCAGUGGUGAAAUCUCCAGGCUUAACUUGGAAACUGCCAUUGAUACUAUCAAUCUUGAAUACCGUGGAGGUCAGCGGAAUAUGUCAUGUAGCGGUGAAAUGCUUAGAUAUGACAUAGAACACCAAUUGCGAAGGCAGCUGGCUACACGAAUAUUGACACUGAUGCACGAAAGCGUGGGGAUCAAACAGGAUUAGAAACCCCAGUAGUCC
This 292-nucleotide ribosomal RNA is filed under the name uncultured bacterium. RNAcentral describes it as "partial 16S ribosomal RNA". It matches the Rfam family "Bacterial small subunit ribosomal RNA", at positions 505 to 796 of the family's 1533-position model. The record is from RNAcentral.